Molecule: transfer RNA, 73 nt
Filed under: Mus musculus (house mouse)
Lineage: Eukaryota; Metazoa; Chordata; Mammalia; Rodentia; Muridae
Description: tRNA-Ile
Source: RNAcentral
GGAGAGAUGGCUCAGUGGUUAAGAGCACUGACGGAUCUUCCAGAGGUCCUGAGUUCAAUUCCCAGCAACCACA